CUCAGUUUAGCCAUUUCAAGAACUUUGCAAGCAUGGAUGGAGGGAGAGCAAGAGGAAGAGGAGGAGGAGGUCAAAGAGGCCAUGCACGGACCCAUAUUUCUGAUGAUAUAAGAGCAACUUUGGUGGACCAUGUCAUCAACCAUGGCCUGACUAUGAGGGAAGCUGGGCAGAGAGUCCACCCACAUCUAAGCCGCUUCACAGUGGCAUCUGUAAUACGAACAUUCCGACUAGAAAACAGGUAUGUCUUCACCUCCAUACCUUCUGCUCUACUCAGAUGGUUCCAUAGCACUGUUCUACAGUAUAUCACAUUACCAUAUCAAGUGUACGGGGUGCUAAUGCUCCUUUUGCAGCCAAAGUGGUAGUUUCUGUGAAACAUACCAUGAUUACUUAUAUUGAAGUACAGUGUUGUACAGUGGAUGAUACAGUAUAUACAGUGAAGUACUGUAAGAAAAACAAGCAAACCGAUGACAAUAUGUGGUUGUAUUUCUCUAGAAUGACUCGAAGACCUUCUGGGGGAGGACGCCAACGCCUGUUCACACAACGGCAGGAACUUGCUGUUGUGGACCUAGUGAGGGCAGACAAUGCCAUCCGUCUCCACCAGCUACGACGGAAAAUACUUGCAGACAGGCGAGUGUUCAGCAACAUAGACCAUGUGAGCAUCACCACCAUCAGACGCAUCUUGGGUAAACACAGCAUCACCAUGAAGCAGCUCUACAGAGUCCCAUUCAAGAGGAACAGUGACAGGGUCAAAGGACUUCGAGCUGAAUAUGUACGGAGAAUCUUGGCCAUGGAUGGAGCUGCACAGCCUCAUGAAUACAUUUUCAUUGAUGAAGCUGGAUUCGACCUGAGCAAUGCGGCGACAUUCAGGUGACAGCAAUCCAUGGAUGGUUUUGACAUGGAAGAGGAUAUUUUCCCCGGUGCCUAGCGGGAGAAGACAUUGCUUGCGAUGUUGAUGAGGUCCUGUGGCCAGACCCCAACAGACGGCGGGAUCCAUGAGCCCACUAUUCAGUUGAGGGCCAGCACAGUGGCAGUAGUUACCACAGUUUCCUCACAGCAAGAAGAUCCUGAGUUCAGCUCCACCACCUCACCAGGGCCUUACUGUGUGGAGUUUACAUGUUUGGAUGGGUUCUCUUCAGACUCUUGUUUGUGCAGCCCACCUCUUUCCCAUCUCCAGCUCACAGACACCUCAGUCAGAGUUCCAUCCAAGCCUCAGCCUGUUACUGCAAUCUGAAGACUGCUGAA
Molecule: long non-coding RNA, 1242 nt
Organism: Astatotilapia calliptera (eastern happy)
Lineage: Eukaryota; Metazoa; Chordata; Actinopteri; Cichliformes; Cichlidae
Source: Ensembl